CAAGUCGAACGGGGGUAGCAAUACCCUAGUGGCGAACGGGUGAGUAAAGCAUCGGAACGUACCCAGUCGUGGGGGAUAACGUAGCGAAAGUUACGCUAAUACCGCAUACGUCCUGAGGGAGAAAGCGGGGGACCGUAAGGCCUCGCGCGAUUGGAGCGGCCGAUGUCGGAUUAGCUAGUUGGUGAGGUAAAAGCUCACCAAGGCGACGAUCCGUAGCUGGUCUGAGAGGAUGAUCAGCCACACUGGGACUGAGACACGGCCCAGACUCCUACGGGAGGCAGCAGUGGGGAAUUUUGGACAAUGGGGGAAACCCUGAUCCAGCCAUGCCGCGUGAGUGAAGAAGGCCUUCGGGUUGUAAAGCUCUUUCGGACGGAAAGAAAUCGCACCGGUAAAUAAUCUGUGUGGAUGACGGUACCGUAAGAAGAAGCACCGGCUAACUACGUGCCAGCAGCCGCGGU
Molecule: ribosomal RNA, 458 nt
Filed under: uncultured bacterium
Lineage: Bacteria
Description: bacterial SSU rRNA
Rfam family: Bacterial small subunit ribosomal RNA
Source: RNAcentral